AGUGAACGCUGGCGGUAGGCCUAACACAUGCAAGUCGAACGGCAGCACAGUAAGAGCUUGCUCUUACGGGUGGCGAGUGGCGGACGGGUGAGGAAUACAUCGGAAUCUACUUUUUCGUGGGGGAUAACGUAGGGAAACUUACGCUAAUACCGCAUACGACCUGCGGGUGAAAGCAGGGGAUCUUCGGACCUUGCGCGAUUGAAUGAGCCGAUGUCGGAUUAGCUAGUUGGCGGGGUAAAGGCCCACCAAGGCGACGAGCCGUAGCUGGUCUGAGGGGAUGAUCAGCCACACUGGAAGUGAGACACGGUCCAGACUCCUACGGGAGGCAGCAGUGGGGAAUAUUGGACGAUGGGCGCAAGCCUGAUCCAGCCAUACCGCGUGGGUGAAGAAGGCCUUCGGGUUGGAAAGCCCUUUUGUUGGGAAAGAAAAGCAUCAGGUUAAUACCCCGCUGUUCUGACGGUACCCAAAGAAUAAGCACCGGCUAACUUCGUG
This 492-nucleotide ribosomal RNA is filed under the name uncultured bacterium. RNAcentral describes it as "partial 16S ribosomal RNA". It matches the Rfam family "Bacterial small subunit ribosomal RNA", at positions 29 to 507 of the family's 1533-position model. The record is from RNAcentral.